RNAcentral lists this ribosomal RNA (239 nucleotides) under uncultured bacterium. Its description in RNAcentral is "partial 16S ribosomal RNA". It matches the Rfam family "Bacterial small subunit ribosomal RNA", at positions 100 to 334 of the family's 1533-position model. The record is from RNAcentral.
CCGGCACGGGUGGAGUAACACGUAUCCAACCUGCCGUCUACUCUUGGACAGCCUUCUGAAAGGAAAGAUUAAUACAAGAUGGCAUCAUGAGUCCGCAUGUUCACAUGAUUAAAGGUAUUCCGGUAGACGAUGGGGAUGCGUUCCGUUAGAUAGUAGGCGGGGUAACGGCCCACCUAGUCUUCGAUGGAUAGGGGUUCUGAGAGGAAGGUCCCCCACAUUGGAACUGAGACACGGUCCAA